RNAcentral lists this ribosomal RNA (508 nucleotides) under uncultured bacterium. Its description in RNAcentral is "partial 16S ribosomal RNA". It matches the Rfam family "Bacterial small subunit ribosomal RNA", at positions 28 to 523 of the family's 1533-position model. The record is from RNAcentral.
GAUGAACGCUAGCUACAGGCUUAACACAUGCAAGUCGAGGGGAAACGAUAUUGGAAGCUUGCUUCCGAUAGGCGUCGACCGGCGCACGGGUGAGUAACGCGUAUCCAACCUGCCCACCACUUGGGGAUAACCUUGCGAAAGUAAGACUAAUACCCAAUGAUAUCUCAAGAAGACAUCUGAAUGAGAUUAAAGAUUUAUCGGUGAUGGAUGGGGAUGCGUCUGAUUAGCUUGUUGGCGGGGUAACGGCCCACCAAGGCUACGAUCAGUAGGGGUUCUGAGAGAAAGGUCCCCCACAUGGGAACUGAGACACGGUCCAAACUCCUACGGGAGGCAGCAGUGAGGAAUAUUGGUCAAUGGGCGAGAGCCUGAACCAGCCAAGUAGCGUGCAGGAUGACGGCCCUAUGGGUUGUAAACUGCUUUUAUAAGGGAAUAAAGUGAGCCUCGUGAGGCUUUUUGCAUGUACCUUAUGAAUAAGGACCGGCUAAUUCCGUGCCAGCCGCCGCCGUAA